GUGGUGUGUCGCGUCGUCUGUGUAAUCCAGGGGCUUAACUUUUGGUUGGCAGGCGAUACGGGCAUUGCUUGAGUGCUGUAGGGGAGACUGGAAUUCCUGGUGUAGCGGUGAAAUGCGCAGAUAUCAGGAGGAACACCGAUGGCGAAGGCAGGUCUCUGGGCAGUUACUGACGCUGAGGAGCGAGAGCAUGGGUAGCGAACAGGAUUAGAUACCCUGGUAGUCUAUGCUGUAAACGGUGGGCGCUAGGUGUGAGUCCCUUCCACGGGGUUUGUGCCGUAGCUAACGCUUUAAGCGCCCCGCCUGGGGAGUACGGCCGCAAGGCUAAAACUCAAAGGAAUUGACGGGGGCCCGCACAAGCGGCGGAGCAUGUGGAUUAAUUCGAUGCAACGCGAAGAACCUUACCUGGGCUUGACAUAUGUGAGAUUGGGCUAGAGAUAGUUCGUCCCUUGUGGCUCAUGUACAGGUGGUGCAUGGUUGUCGUCAGCUCGUGUCGUGAGAUGUUGGGUUAAGUCCCGCAACGAGCGCAACCCUUGUCUUAUGUUGCCAGCACGUUGUGGUGGGGACUCGUGAGAGACUGCCGGGGUUAACUCGGAGGAAGGUGGGGAUGACGUCAAAUCAUCAUGCCCCUUAUGUCCAGGGCUUCACACAUGCUACAAUGGCUGGUACAGUGCGUGUGCGACACCGUGAGGUGGAGCUAAUCGCGAAAGCCAGUCUCAGUUCGGAUUGGGGUCUGCAACUCGACCUCAUGAAGUCGGAGUCG
RNAcentral lists this ribosomal RNA (760 nucleotides) under uncultured bacterium. RNAcentral describes it as "bacterial SSU rRNA". It matches the Rfam family "Bacterial small subunit ribosomal RNA", at positions 575 to 1334 of the family's 1533-position model. The record is from RNAcentral.